CCUACGGUAGGCAGCAGUGGGGGAUAUUGCACAAUGGGGGGAACCCUGAUGCAGCGACGCCACGUUGGUGACGGAGCGUUUCGGCGCGUAAAGCCCUAUCGGCAGGGAAGAAGAUGACGGUACCUGACCAAGAAGCCCCGGCUAACUACGUGCCAGCAGCCGCGGUAAUACGUAGGGGUCAAGCGUUAUCCGGAUUUACUGGGUGUAAAGGGGGCGCAGCAGGCAAUGCAAGCCAGGAGGGAAAGCCCGGGGCCCAACCCCGGGACUGCUCUGGGAACUGCAUGGCUGGAGUACAGGAGGGGCAGGCGGAAUUCCGAGUGUAGCGGUGAAAUGCGUAGAUAUUAGGAGGAACACCGGUGGCGAAGGCGGCCUGCUGGACUGUGACUGACGCUGAGGCACGAAGGCCAGGGGAGCGAAAGGGAUUAGAUACCCGUGUAGUC
Molecule: ribosomal RNA, 440 nt
Filed under: uncultured bacterium
Lineage: Bacteria
Description: partial 16S ribosomal RNA
Rfam family: Bacterial small subunit ribosomal RNA
Source: RNAcentral